UUGGCGGCGUGGAUUAGGCAUGCAAGUCGAGCGAGGACAGCCAGGUAGCAAUACGAGGCUGAGCCGAGCGGCGAAAGGGACAGUAAGGCGUGGCUAACCUACCCUGGGGACUGGGAUAGCGGCCCUAACGGGCCGGUAAUACCGGGCGACGUGGCGAUGCGGCAUCGUGUUGUCACCAAAUGAAUUUCGCCCUGGGAGGGGGUCACGUGGUAUUAGCUAGUUGGUGAGGUAACGGCUCACCAAGGCAAAGAUGCCUAGCGGGUGUGAGAGCACGACCCGCGCCACUGGCACUGAGACACUGGCCAGACACCUACGGGUGGCUGCAGUCGAGGAUCUUCGGCAAUGGGCGCAAGCCUGACCGAGCGACGCCGCGUGUGCGAUGAAGGCCUUCGGGUUGUAAAGCACUGUCGAGGGGGAGGAAAGCCCGCAAGGGUCUGACCUACCCCUGGAGGAAGGAC
RNAcentral lists this ribosomal RNA (458 nucleotides) under uncultured bacterium. RNAcentral describes it as "bacterial SSU rRNA". It matches the Rfam family "Bacterial small subunit ribosomal RNA", at positions 36 to 493 of the family's 1533-position model. The record is from RNAcentral.